Molecule: ribosomal RNA, 317 nt
Filed under: Paraclostridium sordellii
Lineage: Bacteria; Bacillati; Bacillota; Clostridia; Peptostreptococcales; Peptostreptococcaceae
Description: bacterial SSU rRNA
Rfam family: Bacterial small subunit ribosomal RNA
Source: RNAcentral
UAUAUUUGAGAGUUUGAUCCUGGCUCAGGAUGAACGCUGGCGGCGUGCCUAACACAUGCAAGUCGAGCGAACCUUUCGGGGUGAGCGGCGGACGGGUGAGUAACGCGUGGGUAACCUGCCCUGUACACACGGAUAACAUACCGAAAGGUAUGCUAAUACGGGAUAAUAUAUGAGAGUCGCAUGGCUUUUGUAUCAAAGCUCCGGCGGUACAGGAUGGACCCGCGUCUGAUUAGCUAGUUGGUAAGGUAACGGCUUACCAAGGCAACGAUCAGUAGCCGACCUGAGAGGGUGAUCGGCCACAUUGGAACUGAGACACG